Small nuclear RNA from Gorilla gorilla gorilla (western lowland gorilla), 99 nucleotides. Lineage: Eukaryota; Metazoa; Chordata; Mammalia; Primates; Hominidae. The record is from Ensembl.
GUGCUGGUGUCAGGGGUACAUAUACUAAAAUUGAAACAAUGUCAAGAAUGUUUCCUGCACAAGGAUGACACACAAAUCUGUGAAGUGUUGCAUAUUUCU